RNAcentral lists this long non-coding RNA (2070 nucleotides) under Carassius auratus (goldfish). RNAcentral's name for it is "lncRNA (ENSCARG00000055886.1)". The record is from RNAcentral. Lineage: Eukaryota; Metazoa; Chordata; Actinopteri; Cypriniformes; Cyprinidae.
AUGCACUGUGACACACACACGGUCACACACUCACACACAUGGUUACACUCGCACAUGCGUUCACACUCUCACACACAUGGUUACAUGGUCACACUCACGGUCACACACACACUCACACACGUGUUCACACUCACACACCCGGACACACUUACACAUGGUUACAUGGUCACACUCACGGUCACACUCGUGAUGACACUCACACACAUGGUCACAAUCACACACUCAUGGUUACAUGGUCACACUCUCUCUCACACACACACACACACACACACACGUGGUCACACUCAGACACACGGUCACACUCACAAAUGUGGUCACACACACACACACCCGGUCACACUCACACACAGUCACACUCACACACACAUGGUUACAUGGUCACAGUCACACACAGUCACACUCACACACAGUCACACUCAGUCACACACACACACACAGUCACACUCACAGUCACACUCACACAGUCACACUCACACACAGUCACACUCACACACAGUCACACACACACACAGUCACACACAUUCACACAUGGUUACAUGGUCACACACACACACAGUCACACACAUUCACACAUGGUUACAUGGUCACACACACAGUCACACUCACACACAGUCACACACACACACACAUGGUUACAUGGUCACACACACAGUCACACUCACACACAGUCACACACACACACAGUCACACACAUUCACACAUGGUUACAUGGUCACACACACAGUCACACACAUUCACACAUGGUUACAUGGUCACACACACAGUCACACUCACACUCAGUCACACUCACACACAGUCACACUCACACACACACGGUUACAUGGUCACACACACACGGUUACAUGGUCACACACACAGUCACACUCACACACACAGUCACACUCACACACACAUGGUUACAUGGUCACACACACACAGUCACACACACACACUCGGUCACACACUCAGUCACACACACACACUCGGUCACACUCACACUCACACACACACACACACAUGGUUACAUGGUCACACUCACACACAGUUACACUCACACUCAGUCACACACAGUCACACUCACACACUCAGUCACACUCACACACACAUGGUUACAUGGUCACACACACAGUCACACUCACACACAGUCACACUCACAUACAGUCACACACACACACACACACACAGUCACACACACACACACUCGGUCAUACACACACACACAUGGUUACAUGGUCACACACACAGUCACACUCACACACAGUCACACACACACACAGUCACACACAUUCACACAUGGUUACAUGGUCACACACACAGUCACACUCACACACAGUCACACACACACACAGUCACACACAUUCACACAUGGUUACAUGGUCACACACACAGUCACACACAUUCACACAUGGUUACAUGGUCACACACACAGUCACACUCACACUCAGUCACACUCACACACAGUCACACUCACACACACACGGUUACAUGGUCACACACACAGUCACACUCACACACACAGUCACACUCACACACACAUGGUUACAUGGUCACACACACACAGUCACACACACACACUCGGUCACACACUCAGUCACACACACACACUCGGUCACACUCACACUCACACACACACACAUGGUUACAUGGUCACACUCACACACAGUUACACUCACACUCAGUCACACACAGUCACACUCACACACUCAGUCACACUCACACACACAUGGUUACAUGGUCACACACACAGUCACACUCACACACAGUCACACUCACAUACAGUCACACUCACAUACAGUCACACACACACACACACACACACAGUCACACACACACACACUCGGUCAUACACACACACACAUGGUUACAUGGUCACACACACAGUCACACUCACACACAGUCACACUCACACACACACACACACACUCGGUCACACACUCGGUCACACUCACACACACACACACACACACACAUGGUUACUUGUGUGUCAAUUAUUCCACUUAUUCCAAAGUAACCACGCCUCAAGACAUCGAUCAGAUGAUAUAUUUAAAGGAAUCCAUCAGGUUUUUGUUCAUAAAUGGCUAUUGUGAGUAG